UUCGCAAUGCCCGAAAGGGUGACGAAGCGACGCCGCGUGGGUGAGGAAAGCCUUCGGGUUGUAAAGCCCUGUCAGGAGUUAAGAAAUAUAAGUGCGCUAAUAUCGCAUUUAUUUGACGAAGGCUCCAAAGGAAGCCACGGCUAACUCUGUGCCAGCAGCCGCGGUAAUACAGAGGUGGCAAGCGUUGUUCGGAAUUAUUGGGCGUAAAGAGCACGUAGGUGGGUUUGUAAGUCAGAUGUGAAAGCCUUCUGUUCAACGGAAGAAUUGCAUCUGAAACUACAAGUCUUGAGUGUAGGAGGGGAGAAUGGAACUUCUGGUGGAGCGGUGAAAUGCGUAGAUAUCAGAAGGAACGCCGGCGGCGAAAGCGAUUCUCUGGCCUAUUACUGACACUCAGUGUGCGAAAGCUAGGGGAGCAAACGGGAUUAGACACCCCGGUAGUCCUAGCUGUAAACGAUGGGCACUAAGUAGAGGGGUUUU
Molecule: ribosomal RNA, 477 nt
Filed under: Candidatus Scalindua brodae
Lineage: Bacteria; Pseudomonadati; Planctomycetota; Candidatus Brocadiia; Candidatus Brocadiales; Candidatus Scalinduaceae
Description: bacterial SSU rRNA
Rfam family: Bacterial small subunit ribosomal RNA
Source: RNAcentral